Molecule: long non-coding RNA, 747 nt
Filed under: Vulpes vulpes (red fox)
Lineage: Eukaryota; Metazoa; Chordata; Mammalia; Carnivora; Canidae
Description: lncRNA (ENSVVUG00000010742.1)
Source: RNAcentral
UUACUGACUACACUACCCAGGUGCCCCAGGGACAUUUUAUUCAUUCAGCAAGGUAGCAUUAAAAAGCAAAAUCUCACCUGUAAUUCUCAGGUGGAAGAUACAUUCCCCCAUUUGUCACAGUUCAUUUACUCUCUCCUACCUUAUAUCUUUCUACAGGCUGUCUGCUUUAAUCAUUUCUAUUACCUGGCUGGCUCUGAAGGCAGAUACAACUGAAACUGCUGGCCUAAGCAUUUAGUGCUUUGAAGAUGAGCUCCAAGGGGAAGAGCCAAACUCGAAGAAACCAGAGCCGUGUGCCUUGGUACGGAAAUAAGUCAUAGAUUAUAUUCUUCCUCGAGUGAAAUACUAUUCCAACUGAAUAUUUAUAUUCUUCCCUCCACUAAAAUGCUAUUGAAAAUGAAUGUGAUUCUUGUGGGAAUUCGAACAUUGCAUAUUGUCCAGUUGACAGAGUCAUUUAUAAAAGUUGGGAUAUCUUAUACCCCAUCCGGGCUUAAUUAGAGUUUAUAAAGAUCACUGGCAGUUGCAAUAGAAAUAUUGUAUGUUUCCUCCCCCCGGUGACUUUCCCUAGUUCUUUUAUGAGGGCCUUUAAAACUCAUUUAAGUCUCGCUGAAGUUAUUCAUAAAGAUAGAUACCAGCCAUUCUCCGGGAGAGUCUGAUCCUCCGCACCUUCCUCUUCCCCCAACAUUUCUUGGAUAACUGCACACAGGUCAGUUCCAAAUUCUGUCGCUUCCCCUAAUAGGCUUUUCAAAG